GUAGAAAAAGUAAAGCAUCAUUUCUUCCACUUCUUUUCAUAGAAAGAUAAAAGAGUGCCAGAGAAAAAGAGUGAAUUGCAGAUUAAUUAAAAAAAAUCUGAAGAACUAGAGAUAAUGGGUGGUAUCAUGCUACUCAAGAAAAUUGGUUUCUUCUUCCUUCUCAUAACUGCAUCCCUUUUGUCCACUUCAUUUGCAGGUCGAGUAUCGAGGUCUUUGAGCAACUUUGAGCAGGAACCGCUAGGUGCAAUUCAUGAGGAGCAAUUACUCCAUGACGAGGAGGUGAGUGAAAUCCAUGAAAGGCUGCUUAAGGUGAACACAAAGGAUUAUGGGAGAUAUGAUCCAACUCCUGCUUUAUCCAAACCUCCUUUCAAACUCAUUCCCAACUGAUGUGAUUUCGAAAAUUUUAGGUUUUGUGGAAACCCUAAUAUGAGUUAUGAAUAUGAACCACCCUAGCUAGUACUAUAUAUUAUGAGUUACUAUACAUGUUUGCAGCUAUAUAUAUAUAGUACUGUAAGAUACUAUCCUUGUAAACUAUGUUUAUAUUUUUGCAAGAUCAUGUAGUCUCCGUCUGUAAUAUAUAUCUGUGUAAUUAUAAUGAAAAAAUAAAUUACUUAUGUAUCU
Non-coding RNA from Nicotiana tabacum (common tobacco), 621 nucleotides. The record is from RefSeq and is a predicted model, not a curated record. Lineage: Eukaryota; Viridiplantae; Streptophyta; Magnoliopsida; Solanales; Solanaceae.